This 120-nucleotide ribosomal RNA is filed under the name Pteropus alecto (black flying fox). Lineage: Eukaryota; Metazoa; Chordata; Mammalia; Chiroptera; Pteropodidae. The record is from RNAcentral.
GUCUCCGGCCACGGCACCCUGAACACACACCCAAUCCCGUCUGCCCUCGGACGCUAAGCAGGGUCGGGCUGGUCAGUCCUUGGAUGGGAGACCAGCUAGGAAGACCAGGCACUGUGGGCG